This 343-nucleotide unclassified non-coding RNA is filed under the name soil metagenome. Its description in RNAcentral is "partial contains 5.8S ribosomal RNA, internal transcribed spacer 2, and large subunit ribosomal RNA". The stretch from base 1 to 120 matches the Rfam family "5.8S ribosomal RNA", at positions 35 to 154 of the family's 154-position model. The record is from RNAcentral.
GAUGAAGAACGUGGCGAAAUGCGAUAAGUAAUGUGAAUUGCAGAAUCCAGUGAAUCAUCGAAUCUUUGAACGCACAUUGCGCCCGCCAGCAUUCUGGCGGGCAUGCCUGUUCGAGCGUCAUUUCAACCCUCGACCUCCCUUUGGGGAAGUCGGCGUUGGGGACCGGCAGCACACCGCCGGCCCUGAAAUGGAGUGGCGGCCCGUCCGCGGCGACCUCUGCGUAGUAAUCCAACUCGCACCGGAACCCCGACGCGGCCACGCCGUAAAACACCCAACUUCUGAACGUUGACCUCGAAUCAGGUAGGACUACCCGCUGAACUUAAGCAUAUCAAUAAGCGGAGGA